Long non-coding RNA from Silurus meridionalis, 755 nucleotides. RefSeq lists it as uncharacterized. The record is from RefSeq and is a predicted model, not a curated record. Lineage: Eukaryota; Metazoa; Chordata; Actinopteri; Siluriformes; Siluridae. The transcript has 3 exons.
AUGCUUAUGCUUAUGAGAUCACUUGAGCAUGAAGCUGCAGGGCAGCUGCUUUUCUAAAGGAAAAUGCAAAUGACUUGAUCACAGACAAGCCAGAAAGCAGCUCUGAAAUGUUCUGCUUCAGUGCUGAUGGUGCUGCUGAUGUGCUACACACUGCGAACCGUUUAAUAUUCCGAGUGUGAGAAGUCGUCUUCAUGGGAGGAUUUUCUUAAAUUCAGAAAGAGUGACAACUUCAGCGCCAAUUAAAAGAGGAAACACUAUGUUGCAUUUAUGCGAAACGGCAACACCUCUCACCCACACACUCUUUCUCUUGCACUUUGUUUUAUUCUCAGUCUUUCUGCUGGCCAUGAAAGUCAAGAAGACACGUUACCUAUAGAAUCCUUAUAGAAAAUGAUGUCCUUCAAAAUGGCUUCUCUACUUUGUCUCAUCUUUCUUCUUGUGAUUACAGGAGCUCUUGAGAAUCAAUGGAGUGUGAAAUACAGCAACUUAAAUCUCUGUGCUGUAAAAGGAUCUACAGUGGUUAUGGAGGCCACUUACACACAUCCAACAGGUCUUACAGUGAAUAACAGGUUUUGGUUUAUAAAACCAGUUUAUGGUGUAGAACCGACUGAUCUGAGUAAUGAAUCAGGUUACUCAGGCAGAGUGGAGUAUUUAGGAGAUAAACAGAAUCACUUCUCCCUCAGACUGAGUGAUGUGAAGAAAUCAGAUGAACACAUGUACUGCUUCAGAUUCAACACAACUAAAGAUAAAUUUCAGGG